UAGCCGUAAACGAUACUCGCUGGGUGUCGGCCACGGUGCGACCGUUGUCGGUGCCGUAGGGAAGCCGUGAAGCGAGCCGCCUGGGAAGUACGGCCGCAAGGCUGAAACUUAAAGGAAUUGGCGGGGGGAGCACCACAACGGGUGGAGCUUGCGGUUUAAUUGGAUUCAACGCCGGAAAUCUUACCGGGACCGACAGCAACAUGAAGGCCAGGCUGAAGACUUUGCCGGAUUAGCUGAGAGGAGGUGCAUGGCGUAGUCGUGU
Molecule: ribosomal RNA, 262 nt
Filed under: uncultured archaeon
Lineage: Archaea
Description: partial 16S ribosomal RNA
Rfam family: Archaeal small subunit ribosomal RNA
Source: RNAcentral